RNAcentral lists this non-coding RNA (114 nucleotides) under Mycobacterium sp. Its description in RNAcentral is "TPP sequence". It matches the Rfam family "TPP riboswitch aptamer (THI element)". From Rfam's summary of the family: Vitamin B(1) in its active form thiamin pyrophosphate (TPP) is an essential coenzyme that is synthesised by coupling of pyrimidine and thiazole moieties in bacteria. The previously detected thiamin-regulatory element, thi box was extended, resulting in a new, highly conserved RNA secondary structure, the THI element, which is widely distributed in eubacteria and also occurs in some archaea. Lineage: Bacteria; Bacillati; Actinomycetota; Actinomycetes; Mycobacteriales; Mycobacteriaceae. RNAcentral also lists the same sequence under 1 other name. The record is from RNAcentral.
GAGAGCUGACACGGGAGUCCCGGGAGCGGGGCUGAGAGUGGGCCCACCAGACCGGCCCUUACCGUCACACCUGAUCCGGGUCAUGCCGGCGAAGGGAGCGAAGGAUGCCACAGA